CAAGGGAUUAUGUGAAAUGCAAGCUAUAUUUAUAGAUGAACCGAUGACGUACAUCAUGUAAUAAUGCUCAGUAACUGACUGCCACCAUGUCGUAUGAACGUCCAAGCCCUACCGACUUCGACGUUCAAACAUCAGUCGUAGAAAAAGUAAUAUAUGUCGUUUGAUUAAUAACAAAUUGACAUCCUGCCCCCCAGAAAUUAUGUACUUUUCAAUUGCCAGGUGAGAUUUGGAGGGAUCGAAGUUAAAAAGUUUGAUGUGGCCCUCUAUAUUUAUAUAACUCCACUUUCAAUUUGGCUUAGUAACUCGACCAUCUUGUAAGAACGUCGAAGCCCAG
Molecule: long non-coding RNA, 334 nt
Filed under: Vigna radiata
Lineage: Eukaryota; Viridiplantae; Streptophyta; Magnoliopsida; Fabales; Fabaceae
Description: long non-coding RNA (VRAD_LNC011529)
Source: RNAcentral